This 484-nucleotide ribosomal RNA is filed under the name uncultured bacterium. Its description in RNAcentral is "partial 16S ribosomal RNA". It matches the Rfam family "Bacterial small subunit ribosomal RNA", at positions 30 to 507 of the family's 1533-position model. The record is from RNAcentral.
AUUGAACGCUGGCGGCAGGCCUAACACAUGCAAGUCGAGCGGAUGAAGGGAGCUUGCUCCUGGAUUCAGCGGCGGACGGGUGAGUAAUGCCUAGGAAUCUGCCUGGUAGUGGGGGAUAACGUCCGGAAACGGGCGCUAAUACCGCAUACGUCCUGAGGGAGAAAGUGGGGGAUCUUCGGACCUCACGCUAUCAGAUGAGCCUAGGUCGGAUUAGCUAGUUGGUGGGGUAAAGGCCUACCAAGGCGACGAUCCGUAACUGGUCUGAGAGGAUGAUCAGUCACACUGGAACUGAGACACGGUCCAGACUCCUACGGGAGGUAGCAGUGGGGAAUAUUGGACAAAGGGCGAAAGCCUGAUCCAGCCAUGCCGCGUGUGUGAAGAAGGUCUUCGGAUUGUAAAGCACUUUAAGUUGGGAGGAAGGGCAGUAAGUUAAUACCUUGCUGUUUUGACGUUACCAACAGAAUAAGCACCGGCUAACUUCGUG